This 73-nucleotide transfer RNA is filed under the name Streptomyces griseofuscus. RNAcentral describes it as "tRNA-Val". It matches the Rfam family "tRNA". From Rfam's summary of the family: Transfer RNA (tRNA) molecules are approximately 80 nucleotides in length. Their secondary structure includes four short double-helical elements and three loops (D, anti-codon, and T loops). Further hydrogen bonds mediate the characteristic L-shaped molecular structure. tRNAs have two regions of fundamental functional importance: the anti-codon, which is responsible for specific mRNA codon recognition, and the 3' end, to which the tRNAs corresponding amino acid is attached (by aminoacyl-tRNA synthetases). tRNAs cope with the degeneracy of the genetic code in two manners: having more than one tRNA (with a specific anti-codon) for a particular amino acid; and 'wobble' base-pairing, i.e. permitting non-standard base-pairing at the 3rd anti-codon position. The record is from RNAcentral. Lineage: Bacteria; Bacillati; Actinomycetota; Actinomycetes; Kitasatosporales; Streptomycetaceae.
UGGCGCGUAGCUCAAGUGGUAGAGCGGCGGUUUUACACACCGUAGGUUGCGGGUUCGACUCCUGCCGUGCCAA